AAACUAAAACUUUUGUUCACCAGCUGCUCAGCUUUUCAGUCUGGGUCUGAGCUGAAACCUGCUGCAAGUCUGACGGUACCAAAUUACAUAUAUAUAUCUGUCAAAAUGAUGUAGGACCUAAAGUCUCUCUGUAAGUUGAUCCUUUUGACCCCAUGAUUAGGAGCUUCACAAUGUGGUACCACACCUGGAAACCUCCAGAACAAGAUCUCAAGGAAACACAGGAAAUUCCUGAAACAGCAAAACCCCCUACGUGAAGACGUCUGUUAUUCCUUUGUGUAUCAGGAGCAUCACUGUUAAUUAACUGUUGAUACACUUAAAACAGCUUGGUUGGCAAUGUCCUUUUUGAAUAAAGAAGAGCCAGGUGUGUUUUACAGGAUGAACUAGACAAUGCUGCCACAAGUUUACCUCUACGUCUUAUUGCCUUGGAAAAAUUUCCUGCAUAUCGUGGCACAAGAUGGUUGGCUCUCCAGGCAGCAGUUGGCGUUGUGAAUCAGUCAUCUCAGCAUGUGUCUCCAAGAUCCCACAGCAGGGGGAAAAAGAGGUGGAGGGUCACAUGCCUGGUGUUACAUACUUUGAGGCAGAGGUGGUAGGUGCCAUUUCUGCUCACAGCUCAUGGACCAGAACAAAGCCAUGCAUACCUGAGAGAGGACCAGAAAAUAUUCUGAAGCAGAGGGCUAUUUGGUGAGCAGUAAAUGUUUC
This 699-nucleotide long non-coding RNA is filed under the name Pan troglodytes (chimpanzee). Its description in RNAcentral is "lincRNA". Lineage: Eukaryota; Metazoa; Chordata; Mammalia; Primates; Hominidae. The record is from RNAcentral.